GGGGAACCUGCGGAGGGAUCUUACCGAGUUACAACUCCCAAACCCAAAUGUGAACAUACCUACUGUUGCUUCGGCGUGCUCGCCCCGGCGUCCGGCUGGCCCUGUGCCGGCCGCGACCCGGAGCCAGGCGACCGCCGGAGAAAAAAACCAAAACCCUUUGUAUUAUCAGCAUCUUCUGAAUCCGCCGCAAGGCAAAACAAAUGAAUCAAAACUUUCAACAACGGAUCUCUUGGUUCUGGCAUCGAUGAAGAACGCAGCGAAAUGCGAUAAGUAAUGUGAAUUGCAGAAUUCAGUGAAUCAUCGAAUCUUUGAACGCACAUUGCGCCCGGGAGCAUUCUCCCGGGCAUGCCUGUUCGAGCGUCAUUUCAACCCUCGACCUCCCCUUGGAGAGGCCGGCCGUUGGAGAUCGGCAGCGAUUGCCGGCUCCCAAAUUCAGUGGCGACCCGCCGCGGGGACCCCUGCGCAGUAACAUACACUCGCACCGGAAACCAGACGUGUCACGCCGUAAAACCCCAACUUUCUGAACGUUGACCUCGGAU
Molecule: ribosomal RNA, 539 nt
Filed under: Lecanicillium sp. JCKQF18
Lineage: Eukaryota; Fungi; Ascomycota; Sordariomycetes; Hypocreales; Cordycipitaceae
Description: partial 16S ribosomal RNA
Rfam family: 5.8S ribosomal RNA (bases 210-363)
Source: RNAcentral